Molecule: long non-coding RNA, 2760 nt
Organism: Gopherus flavomarginatus (Mexican gopher tortoise)
Lineage: Eukaryota; Metazoa; Chordata; Testudines; Testudinidae
Exons: 4
Source: RefSeq, a predicted model, not a curated record
GGGAUCGUCAAGUCUUUCCAAAUGUUCCUUCUUGGUAUGGGUCACUAGAGAAAGGUAAUCUACAUACUGGAACAGAACCAUUAUUGGUUUAGAAAAUUGCGACAGUACCUGCCUAAUCUAAGCAGGAAAUAAUGCAGGGGAACUUUUGUACCCCUGGGUUAAAUGGUUCCAGAAAUUUUAGACCCCCUGAAAACUAAACACAAAUCAGUACUGGGAAAUGUGGGCCAGUAUAACAUCCAAAAGCUAUUGCUGAUGUUGAGGACAGUAAACCAUGUGGCCUCUGGAUCAAAGGACUUAAUGAGAUCUGGCAGCUUGGCCACCAUACGGGGCACAAGUAGGUGUGACCUGAUUUAGGCAUUUCUAAUCAAUGGUUAGAUGCCAAAAACCAUCUGGUUUCUUAACCGGCCAAAUAGGGGAAUUGGCGGUGGAAGUACAUCUAUGUAGAACUCCUUGUGUCAGUAAGGACUUAAUAGUCUUGUCUAUGUAUUCUUUGGCUUGAUCUGGGUAAGCAUAUUGUUUGGAGCUGGUACAUCUCCUCCCAUAACAAUAAUGACUGUCAUACCUCCACAGUCAAGUUUGUGUUUGGCAAAGGCAUCCGCAUGCUUGAAAAGUAAACUCUGUAAUUCGGGUUGGUCUACAUGCUCUGCCACUAUUUUGUUCAAGUUCUACCUCUAUGGUUCCAGUUCCUCUGCCAUAUUCAGGCAUGAUCACAGGCGGAUAAUUCAUUCCCUACUCUGUAGUAUGACACAAGAGGAAGUUACUCACCUCGUGCAGUAACAAUCAUUCUUUCAGAUGUGUCCUCCUUAGGAUGCACCACAGUAGAUUUUAGGUAGUAGUGUCCCUUUAGCAGGCUCAUGUGGUCGUCUCUCUCGUGAUCUGCCUUGAGGCUAUAUAGUACUGCGUGGGCAAUCCCCCUCGGUUUCUUCUCUACUUCAAAGCCCCUUAUGGAAAACUCUGAAGUAGAGGGGAGUAGGACAGGUUGAGGAGCACCCAUAGGGGGACACAUCUCAAGAACCAUUGUUACUGCACAAGGUAACUUCCUCCUCUUCUUCAAGUAGUGUUCCUAUGGGUGCUUCACUGUAGGUGAUUUCACAGCAGUAUUCCCCAUGGAGGGCUGGGGCUUUGGAGUGGAGUCUGUUACUAGGGAGUAACUUGAUUCUUGCUUGCAUAUAUAUACACACCUGCCUCUGGAAAUUUCCACUACAUGUAUCCGACAAAGUGGGUAUUCACCCAUGAAAGCUCAUGCUCCAAUACGUCUGUUAGUCUAUAAGGUGCCACAGGACUCUUUGCUGCUGUUACUAGAGAGAGUAUUGUGGAGCCAAAGACGACAUCAGAGGACGGAUCUCCAACGAUCGCAUAAUGUUCUGUGAAAGUGUGGGCAGAGGCCCAUGUCACUGCUCUGCAGAUUUCCAAGAUAGGGACAUCUUUAAGGAAUGCAACAGAAGUAGAAAUUGACCUCAUGGAAUGUGUACAGAUUCCAGAUGGAGGCAAAUGGUUGUGCCCUUCAUAACACUGAUUAAUGCAAACUGAGACUGACAUGUUCUGUACCUUGGGGGAACACCCUACACCUCCAUGUUCAUCCUUAUAAUAUGAUUGUGUAGUAUCCAAUGCAAAGUUUGUCAUGUCAGUUGUCUUCGGAAGGCUCAUGAUGUACUGAGCAUUGUUGUAAUGGCAAUUGUUGUUAUAGUAAUGUUAUAGGUUGUAAUUUCAUGUAUAUAAUUAUGAGGCUGCAAAUGUGUCCUCAUGGCUUAAAGCAAACCCAGGCAAAAAUUCUCCAAGAACAGAGAGGCAGUUCACACCUCAUCAGGGCUUUAAUGGAACCCAGUCAAGCCUCAGAGGAACAAAAGACACUGGCCUAGGCAGCAAAAAAGGAUCAGUUGGACUCUUGAAUGACUCAUCUCCCUUCCUUUGGUCAGUUUGGGACUGCGAUAAGAUAAUGCUCACCUGAGUCUGAAGGGGGCAAAGCCAAGAGGGAAGAUGGACAUGAUAAAAGGGAGAGAAGUUUGCCAUGCUUUUCCUCUCUCUUCCACCUCCAUCUACACACAUCACCACCAAGCAACUGAAGCUCUGAACAAAGGGGAGAGCCUGUCUUAAGGGCAACCAGCCAGCCGGUAAGUACAUCAAAUGAUCAACUUUAGUCUGUGCAGCAAUACGUCUUAUCAGCGGUGGAAGAUGCAGACGGGGUAAAGGCUCAGCCUGUCACUUUGAAAGUGCAUGUUGGGAAUGUGCCAAAGAGGAACCAGAGGAUAUAUUGCCAUCUGUGUCAGAAUCUUGGAUAGAAGAGGAGAGACAUACAAGGGGUCCCUGUUCCAUAGGAAGAUGAGAACAUCACCCAGUGAAUGUUUCCCCAGGUUAGCCCUGGAACAAUAGUGAGGACAUUUCUUCUUCCAGGUGGGGUCUCCAGAAGAAGUAUGGAUGGUAAGAGAAAGACACUGGCUGUGCUAUCUCCUAAUCCACUGCAGAGGGAGACAAACCUGGCUUAAAGGACUUGUGGAGAAAAAUGGCACUUGUUAACAUGGGUUCCAACUUAGAGCUUGUGUCAGGGCAAGAAGCCAAAGUGAAAUGCUCUGUUAAUCUAUAAAACAUAUAAGGCCUGGGCAACCUCAAAUUUUCCCCCAUCACUACAUUAAAGCGCCUCAGACUGACUUGAAGAAAUGGUGAGAGGAUACUGCAAUUCUACCCAAUCAGUCCAUGGCAUGCAUACAGAAAUUAUCAACAUGGGAGCUAACUACACCUCUACACGGAUAUAACGUGACCCGA